RNAcentral lists this non-coding RNA (149 nucleotides) under Chlorocebus sabaeus (green monkey). The record is from Rfam by way of RNAcentral. Lineage: Eukaryota; Metazoa; Chordata; Mammalia; Primates; Cercopithecidae.
GCCAGGUGUGGUGGUGCACGCCUGUAAUCCCAGCUACUUAGGAGGCUGAGGCAGGUGAAUCGCUUGAACCCAGGAGACGGAGGGUGCAGUGAGCCGAGAUCGUGCCACUGCACUCUAGCCUGGGCAACAAGAGCGAAACUCUGUCUCAA